RNAcentral lists this ribosomal RNA (484 nucleotides) under uncultured bacterium. Its description in RNAcentral is "bacterial SSU rRNA". It matches the Rfam family "Bacterial small subunit ribosomal RNA", at positions 24 to 518 of the family's 1533-position model. The record is from RNAcentral.
UCAGGAUGAACGCUGGCGGCGUGCUUAACACAUGCAAGUCGAACGGAGUUACAUGAAACCUAGUGAUUGUAAACUUAGUGGCGGACGGGUGAGUAACGCGUGGGUAACCUGCCUUAUACCGGGGGACAGCAGUUAGAAAUGACUGCUAAUACCGCAUAAGCGCACGGUGUCGCAUGGACACAGUGUGAAAAACUCCGGUGGUAUAAGAUGGACCCGCGUCUGAUUAGCCAGUUGGUGAGGUAACGGCCCACCAAAGCAACGAUCAGUAGCCGGCCUGAGAGGGUGAACGGCCACAUUGGGACUGAGACACGGCCCAAACUCCUACGGGAGGCAGCAGUGGGGAAUAUUGGACAAUGGGGGAAACCCUGAUCCAGCCGACGCCGCGUGAGUGAAGAAGUAUUUCGGUAUGUAAAGCUCUAUCAGCAAGGAAGAUAAUGACGGUACUUGACUAAGAAGCCCCGGCUAACUACGUGCCAGCCGCUGC